Oxyura jamaicensis (ruddy duck) is the source of this 932-nucleotide long non-coding RNA. RefSeq lists it as uncharacterized. The record is from RefSeq and is a predicted model, not a curated record. Lineage: Eukaryota; Metazoa; Chordata; Aves; Anseriformes; Anatidae. The transcript is spliced from 2 exons.
GCCAGACCCCAAGGAUGCUGUGGGGAAAAGGCAGCUUGGAAAACACUCCCCGUUCCUCGCUGUGUCUGCACACAGGGGACGGGCUAGCAGCCUUCUUAACUGGGCAGGGUGUUUUCAUCAUAUGCCAUUGAUUAGCCUUUUGUGUGUGUUACACUUCAUCAAGGGUAAGAUGAAGGACCCUUUCUGCUGAGCGAGUAUGAAACAGACGUGGCUCUAGCUGGAAAGAGCACGGGCUGCCCCGGGGAGCACAAAACAGCCAAAAUGAAGCCUGCUCCAACUGCUCAAUCCACGUCUGGAUCUGCCCCCUGGGCUGAGGACAAGGACGGGCCUCAGUGCCCAGGCCUGUGCUGACCCAGCUCCGGCGGCAGUGGUGCAGGAACAGGAAACCAUUUUUCUCCUCUUCAAGGUUUUGGUGUAAUUUGAGAAUCAUACCCCAUGCAGAUCGGAACAUGUUAGUAAUGUCUGGAAAGUAAUUGUGGCGUAUAUUAUUAUUUUAAUAUUUACUAAGUGCUGACAGUACAAUGCCUUUAUUAAAACUUUGGGGAGGGUGAAAUACACACCACAAAGCAUGGCGGGAUGGAGGCAGUCUUCUGAAAUUGCUCAUUUAUAUUUCAAUUUUACAGUCACUUUCCUGUGACCUACUUUUAAUCAUACAUUGUUUUCUUUGCGGCUUAAAUCAUGUAAGGUGGUUAAUGAUUUUAAUUUAAAGUUCUCUAAGGAAGAAUGUAAAUAAUACUUCUGCCUAGUGGAGGCAGGCUGUGAACUUCUUAUGGAGAAGCAAUUUAUCACUGUAUUGAAGAGCAAUGGAAGAGGUUUAACUUCGCCAGAAGCUGGACGUCUUUCUUUUCACUUAUUCUGAUCAUGUAAGAGCAAUAUGCCAAGGGUUAUCAGGAGAGCUCUAUGUUUAAAAUUAAAUUGAUGAGACUAGAUUA